UGCUUCUAUCACACUCCAGUGCUUUUAAGCAGGUUUUCCCCCCAUAUUUUACCUAAAGUUUAUAGCUGUUACCUGUGGAAAGGUUGGUUCAGUGGGGGCUAUUCUGCCAUUACCAAAAGUUGGGUCCUGUUCUCUACUUUUUAAUUGGCCGGAAAAGAGGCAUAAACUCGGAGAACCCAAGACCCCGGCCUGGCGUGCAGCCCCAGCAGCCGGACCAGCCUUGGGCAACAGCGUGCGACGUUCAGCUGUCUGUGUCUCCAGUGCUCCCAUUCCAUCGCACCUGAAUGAGGGAUUUGGGAGGUAAAACAGGGCUGAGCGUGCGUUCGAGCUUCUCCUGCAUCAUGACCAGGAUGCUCUGGGACACCUUGUCCACGUCUGUGUCCACCAGUCCUGCUCAGAAUCUCCCCAGGGGCUUUUCCACGAUGCCCAUCCAGGCGUCACCCUCACUCUAGGCCAGGAGGAGAAGGCAUGCCCUGAGGAUUCAGCCUCUUCUUCUUCAUCCCUCCCAGCACCCAGUGUGUUGGGUGCACACAUUAUGGUUCCAAACCAGAGUUUCCCUAGGAAAUAAACACGGAGGGGCUGAAAGGACCUGGGGCCAUCGGGGGUGGAUGGCCAUAUCCUGGGGCCUUGAUGCCAGUGCCGACUGUUCCCUGCACGCUUCCACGUCCACGCCAACAUUGCAAGGCUAUGUCACGGACUGGAACAGCUACAGUGAUGACACACCUGAGGUGAACACAACUCCAGCAGCAUCCUGGCCUCUCAUGGGGCAAGUGCAUGUGGAAUCUAGAAACUUCACAGCUGAGCCUGCAAAGGUGCUCAUGGCAUGCAGAAGUGUUUCUGGAUCCAGUGGUAGGAAGUCAUUUCAAGCAGCUUGUGAACAUUCACAGAAGCAGCUCAGGAUCAUCCUGCUGCUUCUGAGAGCAGGUGUCGGGCCCCAGGCUGGAGGCCACGUGCCAGGCUGGCAGGAUUUGUCCACUGUGAAGCUCGACGCCCCCGCAGGCCCUGUGCUGCCCGCCCGGAUCCCCCUGCCUCAGGAUGCCCUCCACACCCUCCGAAUUCCCAGCCGCUGCUCUGGGGCCUGCACAGAGGGCUUGGGCCCAGCACCUGGAAACUCCAAAGAGGCAAACGGGUUCAUGUCCAGGUUUUGUCAGAUCGCUUCCGAGGCUGCCCUCUUCGCCGUGGCUGCUGAGUGCAGAGCUGGGCAUCUGAGUGGACAGAGUGGUGCUCCGCUUCCUUGCAUCUCCUGGGCCAUGCGUGGUGACCUGUGCCCACUGCAUCGCUCCUGUGUGCCCUGUGCAUGUGACCGUGUCUUUCCCGUGUAUUCAGUGCUGCUUCAUGUCUUCCAGUUCCGCUUUGUGGUUUGUGAGUGACCAGUGCAUCCCGUUCCUGCUGCAGCAGCUGCAAUGUGCACUGUCCUGCAGGAAGCCCUCGGGGUAGGGCCUGGGGGCUGUGGGAAGCUCAGCAACAAGGUAAGGGAAUGGGCAGCUUUGUUUUAUUUAUUUAUUUAUUUUUACUAUUUAAUUAUCUCACCUUAUUACACUUUAAUUAAAAUAUCGAUCUUUACACAAUACACUUGAACUGUGGAAUAAAGCAGGACCAGAUGUGGA
Molecule: long non-coding RNA, 1607 nt
Organism: Homo sapiens (human)
Lineage: Eukaryota; Metazoa; Chordata; Mammalia; Primates; Hominidae
Product: long intergenic non-protein coding RNA 452
Source: Ensembl